GGAGAGGUGCCAGAGUGGUCGAUCGGGGUGGUCUCGAAAACCACUGAACGGGCAACCGUUCCGAGGGUUCGAAUCCCUCCCUCUCCGCCA
Molecule: transfer RNA, 90 nt
Filed under: Lentisphaerae bacterium ADurb.BinA184
Lineage: Bacteria; Pseudomonadati; Lentisphaerota
Description: tRNA-Ser
Rfam family: tRNA
About the family: Transfer RNA (tRNA) molecules are approximately 80 nucleotides in length.
Source: RNAcentral